GAUGAACGCUGGCGGCGUGCCUAAUACAUGCAAGUCGAGCGAACGGACGAGAAGCUUGCUUCUCUGAUGUUAGCGGCGGACGGGUGAGUAACACGUGGAUAACCUACCUAUAAGACUGGGAUAACUUCGGGAAACCGUAGCUAAUACCGGAUAAUAUUUUGAACCGCAUGGUUCAAAAGUGAAAGACGGUCUUGCUGUCACUUAUAGAUGGAUCCGCGCUGCAUUAGCUAGUUGGUAAGGUAACGGCUUACCAAGGCAACGAUGCAUAGCCGACCUGAGAGGGUGAUCGGCCACACUGGAACUGAGACACGGUCCAGACUCCUACGGGAGGAAGCAGUAGGGAAUCUUCCGCAAUGGGCGAAAGCAUGACGGAGCAACGCCGCGUGAGUGAUGAAGGUCUUCGGAUCGUAAAACUCUGUUAUUAGGGAAGAACAUAUGUGUAAGUAACUGUGCACAUCUUGACGGUACCUAAUCAGAAAGCCACGGCUAACUACGUG
Molecule: ribosomal RNA, 497 nt
Filed under: uncultured bacterium
Lineage: Bacteria
Description: partial 16S ribosomal RNA
Rfam family: Bacterial small subunit ribosomal RNA
Source: RNAcentral